Molecule: ribosomal RNA, 35 nt
Filed under: Orthopyxis caliculata
Lineage: Eukaryota; Metazoa; Cnidaria; Hydrozoa; Leptothecata; Campanulariidae
Description: partial 28S ribosomal RNA
Source: RNAcentral
UGACCUCAGAUCAGGCAAGACUACCCGCUGAAUUU